This is a non-coding RNA of Oncorhynchus mykiss (rainbow trout), 2975 nucleotides long. NCBI's taxonomy places the organism in Eukaryota, Metazoa, Chordata, Actinopteri, Salmoniformes, Salmonidae. The record is from RefSeq and is a predicted model, not a curated record.
UAACUAGCUCCGUGGACACACACACUAACCCGUUGUGACAUGCAGACAUGCACACUGUGACGCAGUCACGCAGCAGGACGUUACGUACACAUGGGGACACACCCGUCUACAGUCCUGUAAGGAAAAUAAAAGAAUGAGACGUGUGAGCUGAGGGCUGAAGUUAUUCUCCACCAAUCUGGAACAGAGUUCCAUUACAGAGACACACUGCAGCAGACAUUACGGAUCCAUAACCAGCUUCAAGACUUCUAAAGGAUGAAGAACCUUAAACUUCUCAUCCUCUCUCUCUCCAUCUGCCUGUUGCUGGGCAACCUGGGGGUGAGUGGCUACAGUAAUGUCGAACCCUGCCAACGGUCCCGAUGCAAUAACUGCCAUGAAAAGUUCCUAUACCGGCAUGUGCGUCCAAAUACCCCGUUAACGACAGACCGCAACGAGUGGGAGAAGUAUCUACGUGGAAAAAACGACUGCUCAAGACCCACGCAGUCCUUCCUCCAUCCCAAAGACCGGGAGAGGGUGGACGCGGUCUGCUCCAGCUCUGGGGGAAAGAGGUACCAGGGGAACCUGUGCAUCAGCCAAAGCCCUUUCACGUUUCUAACAGUGAGGAGUGAGACUGGGACCUGCGGUGUGUCCAGCGUGCGGGAGGAGACCAAGCAUUUGAUCCUGGCAUGUGAGGUGCUGGAGAACAGGUGUGUGCCGGUCCACUUCGAGGGGAACCGCGAGGGGAGCAAGCCCGACAAUAACGCUGCAGGAUGUGGCAGCACGGAGAAAGGGAAGGGCUCGAGCUUCAAAGUAUCAGGAAUGUGGCUGGCAUCUUCAUUGAUACUCAUGUUUCUCUCACAACUCCUUUUCUGAACAGUUAAUGGGGGGGGGGGGGGGGGCAGAUAGUCAAACAAUACAUCAAAAGUAAGUUUGUUUUAAAGUGUCUGUCCUAAAAAGAAAAUGUUCCUGGAGUAUCCUUUAGGGGUUCUUCAAAUGUAAUGUGUGGGUGAACCGCUAUGAGUUAUUCUAAGAACCCCUUUUAAUGGAUCCUCAGAGAACCUUUUGAAGAACCUUUGGGGUACAUUUUUUGAACGACCCCUCUCCCCUAUUAUUAAUAAAGGUAAUACGCAUAACAAAAACAACAAUAACACAAUAUUUUAUUGUUCUCAGUGUUUAUUAUGAUUGUAGUGGCAAAAGCAGAAUAAUAAAAUCUAAACAUGAGGUAAACUCCCAGCAGAGCCCCACGUCCAGUGGAAGUCCAGUGGAAGUCCAGUGGAAGUAUAUCCUCUGGCGUGUUGAUGUUAUUGUGUUGAUGUUCUCCGUAUCCAUAGCCAGAAUGAGGCAUAUUUCUGUCUGUAAUAAUGCCCUUUUGUGGGGAAAACUCAUUCUGAUUGGCUGGGCCUGCCUCCCCAGUAGGAGGGCCUAUGCCCUCCCUGGCCCACCCAUGGCUGCGCCCCUGCCCAGUCAUGUGAAAUCCAUAGAUUAGGGCCUAACUGAUUUUUUUAAAUGGACUGAUUUCCUUAAUUAACUGUAACUCAGUAAAAUCUUUGAAAUGGUUGCAUGUUGCGUUUAUAUUUUUGUUCCGUAUACUUCCAUAUAUAUUACCAUUCAUUGGUGAGUAGCCCAAACUGUUCUGAAGCUACAGACAGAAGUUGGCAGAUCGGUGGUACUGACUUGCGGGGGUCGUAGAAAACUGAGAACACCAUCAUGUUGGUGAGAGUCUCAUCUUUCCAUAGAUGGGUCAUAUUAGUUUGUUGGCCAAACCGUUCGGACGCUACAGACGUUUUUGUGAGAAGAACGAUUUCCGCCAUGUCUCAUGGUCUGACAAACAGUAGCUUGGUCACCUUCCACCACAGAUGUGGAAGGACGCCAUGAGGUGAAUUGAGACGCAGCCCAUCCAAAAGGCUACAUAUCUCUAGCUUAACGCUACAAUAUGUCACUUUUUGGGCAACCCAACCAAAUUCACACAGAAAUAUGAGUUAUAGAUAUUUCAUGAAAGCAAGUCUAAGAAGCGGUAGAUCUGUUCUAUGUGUGCUAUUUUUGCGUCUUUUACUUUCAGUUUUGUACACAAGCAAUAUUUUGGGUUAUUGAAAAAAUAUUUCACAGCAGUUUAGAUGGAACUAUGAUUCUCUACACAAUGACUGCCUGUUUUGUCAUAACCUAAAAUUAGGUGAACUAUUAGAAUUUUAUCAACCAGGAAAUGGCGGAGUGAUUUCUUAAUAGUACAUCUUUAAACAGAGGGAUUUUGAUGGGGAUUUUUUUAUUAUGCUAAUUAGAUUUCAGCGGGGGGGCACAGACAUCGACUCUAGGGGGUGUAGACUGCCAUGUAUUCAGGCCUGGUCCUGGGCUAUAACACUUCACUCACAACAUUUAAAAGACUGCCAUCUAUUCAGGUCUGACCCUGGGUCUGACCCUGGGCUAUGAUAGCCUGGGUACCUUGUACUCUGUGUCAUAUGCCAAAGAUGUUUAGCGUAAAAAGAGUGGCAAGGAGGGGAAUGAUAGCUAAACAGACUGGUACCCGUACCAGACUAGGGCUAUGACGUUUCACACACAACAGCUAAUAGACUGCCGUGUUUUGUUCUCUCACGACAUCUAUCUGUUUUGUCAUAUGUAUGUUAUGGAUGGUGUUGCCUGUUCCUGUGUGCCAGUCAGGCAUCUGUCUGUGGCUGUGGGCCCCAGCCUAAUGUUGGCGUCAGCAUUUCAUUACCUUGUACUUCAUUUGAAAAAGUGUAUUGUACCAUGCUGAAUAUAUGCACUAUCAAUAAAGGCUGAUUUGGUAGAAUGUUGAAGAGCAGCAUCAUCAGCCAGCACCAUAGGACUUAAAACCACAUGACCUCAUCUGAGAGGUCACACACAAGCAGCACAUUCCGAGUUGGCAGGCAAGUGCUUUACUAUGAGCAUGUAAACAUGUAAUACACCCCCAUCAGCCUACAACAUGGAUUGGCUUUUGUAGGCCUGAAGAAAAAAAAGGAGAAAUAAAAAAGAUUUUUAGGAACUCA